UACGUAGGGGGCAAGCGUUGUCCGGAAUUAUUGGGCGUAAAGGGCUCGUAGGUGGCCAACUAAGUCAUACGUGAAAUCCCUCGGCUUAACCGGGGAACUGCGUCUGAUACUGGAUGGCUUGAGGUUGGGAGAGGGAUGCGGAAUUCCAGGUGUAGCGGUGAAAUGCGUAGAUAUCUGGAGGAACACCGGUGGCGAAGGCGGCAUCCUGGACCAAUUCUGACACUGAGGAGCGAAAGCCAGGGGAGCAAACGGG
RNAcentral lists this ribosomal RNA (253 nucleotides) under uncultured bacterium. RNAcentral describes it as "partial 16S ribosomal RNA". It matches the Rfam family "Bacterial small subunit ribosomal RNA", at positions 524 to 776 of the family's 1533-position model. The record is from RNAcentral.